RNAcentral lists this ribosomal RNA (491 nucleotides) under uncultured bacterium. Its description in RNAcentral is "bacterial SSU rRNA". It matches the Rfam family "Bacterial small subunit ribosomal RNA", at positions 28 to 526 of the family's 1533-position model. The record is from RNAcentral.
GACGAACGCUGGCGGCGUGCUUAACACAUGCAAGUCGAACGGUGAACUUGAGAGCUUGCUCUUGGGGGAUCAGUGGCGAACGGGUGAGUAACACGUGAGUAACCUGCCCCGGACUCUGGAAUAAGCGCUGGAAACGGCGUCUAAUACUGGAUACGAAGUAGAGCUGCAUGGCUACUACUUGGAAAGUUUUUCGGUCUGGGAUGGGCUCGCGGCCUAUCAGCUUGUUGGUGAGGUAGUGGCUCACCAAGGCGACGACGGGUAGCCGGCCUGAGAGGGCGACCGGCCACACUGGGACUGAGACACGGCCCAGACUCCUACGGGAGGCAGCAGUGGGGAAUAUUGCACAAUGGGCGCAAGCCUGAUGCAGCGACGCCGCGUGAGGGAUGACGGCCUUCGGGUUGUAAACCUCUUUCAGCAGGGAAGAAGCCGCAAGGUGACGGUACCUGCAGAAGAAGCACCGGCUAACUACGUGCCAGCCGCCGCUGUAACAC